This 292-nucleotide ribosomal RNA is filed under the name uncultured bacterium. RNAcentral describes it as "partial 16S ribosomal RNA". It matches the Rfam family "Bacterial small subunit ribosomal RNA", at positions 505 to 796 of the family's 1533-position model. The record is from RNAcentral.
GUGUCAGCAGCCGCGGUAAAACGUAGGGUGCGAGCGUUAUCCGGAUUUACUGGGCGUAAAGCGCACGCAGGUGGCUUGGCAAGUUGGACGUGAAAGCUCCUGGCUUAACUGGGAGAGGUCGUUCGAGACUGCUGGGCUUGAGGUUGGGAGAGGGGUAUGGAAUUCCCGGUGUAGUGGUGGAAUGCGUAGAUAUCGGGAGGAACACCAGUGGCGAAGGCGGUACCCUGGCCCACACCUGACGCUGAGGUGCGAAAGCGUGGGUAGCAAACAGGAUUAGAUACCCCCGUAGUCC